UAGGGAAUCUUCGGCAAUGGACGAAAGUCUGACCGAGCAACGCCGCGUGAGUGAAGAAGGUUUUCGGAUCGUAAAACUCUGUUGUUAGAGAAGAACAAGGACGUUAGUAACUGAACGUCCCCUGACGGUAUCUAACCAGAAAGCCACGGCUAACUACGUGCUAGCAGCCGCGGUAAUACGUAGGUGGCAAGCGUUGUCCGGAUUUAUUGGGCGUAAAGCGAGCGCAGGCGGUUUCUUAAGUCUGAUGUGAAAGCCCCCGGCUCAACCGGGGAGGGUCAUUGGAAACUGGGGGACUUGAGUGCAGAAGAGGAGAGAGGAAUUCCAUGUGUAGCGGUGAAAUGCGUAGAUAUAUAGAGGAACACCAGUAGCGAAAGCGGAUCUCUGGUCUGUAACUGACGCUGGGGCUCGAAAGCGUGGGGAGCAAACAGG
Molecule: ribosomal RNA, 429 nt
Filed under: Gemmatimonadota bacterium
Lineage: Bacteria; Pseudomonadati; Gemmatimonadota
Description: Gemmatimonadetes bacterium partial 16S ribosomal RNA
Rfam family: Bacterial small subunit ribosomal RNA
Source: RNAcentral